UUCUGCUCUCCCUCGAUUGCUCUCUCCCUCCCUCUCUCCCUCCCACUUUUCCUGAACCACAGCUUCCGGGAACACAGAGUCAACUGUCUGGCAGCUUUCAUGUACUAGCUGUGGUUCUGGAAGGCCCUGGUCCGGGUAUGGAAGCCCAGGGAACUGCCCGCCAGGCUGGAGGCAGGGCCUGCACAGGGCAUCCGUGUCUGCCUCUCCCUGGGCUUCCACCUCCCACCCAGGCACCCACGUUCCCAGCGGCUUUCUGCUUGGGGAAGUUCUGCUGCUGAAACUGGGGAUUCCCAGAGUGGAAGGGGCCCUGCCGAAUAGCCAGCCACCUCCUCUACUUCUCAGUGAGAAGAAAACCAAGGCGGUGGGGGUGGGGGACGCAAGGCGGGGCUUCCCCGGGAUCACACAGCUGAGCAGAGGCCAGGCCAGGGGUCCCUGAUCUGCUGCCUGAGUCCUGGGCCCUUCCUGCCUCCCCACGGAGAGGAGACGGCUGGGUCAGAGGCCUGGCCUGUCAACAGGAAGGGCACUUCCCUCCUCCUAAAGGCCCAGCGAUCGGGCUCCAGUGUAGCAAUGAGGACACUGAGGACACAGGCUCCACGGAGGGGAGGAAGCGGCUGCCUGCCCGCCUGUCAGACUCUGAUCUCAAAUUAGAAUGACGCCUCUCAUCUCUGCCCUGCUUUGAAUCUGAGAGGCCUCCUCCGCCCUUCAGCUGCAGCCUCGUGACCAGGAACAGAGCGGGCCCUGUGUCCUGGAGGCCUUCAUCAGGGAAGGGGGAAGCCGUCCAUGCAGGAGGUGGCAUGUAUUGAUUACCUGUGCCCCACCCCUACGCCCCAAAGCCAGACACUGUGCUUGUGAGUUGUUACUUAGGUGACAUUCAUUCCCCACCACGUCCUUGGGCAGGAGGCAGGAUGCUCACCUCUGUGGCAGGCGGAGGUGAGGCUCAGCGAGGAGAAGGAGGUGAUGCGUCUGUGGUAGGGGGAGGAGGUGAGGCUCAGCGAGGAGAAGGAGGUGAUGCCUCUGUGGCAGGAGGAGGAGAGAGACAUCUCCAGCCCCCACGUCCUGGAAUCUUUGUAGAGGGUCAGCUCUGAGCUCAUGGAGCCAGGCCCUGCCUGCCCACCCAGCUCUAGAGGCUACAGCUGCAGUAAGAAACGAAUCUGCCCUCACCUCCUUCACCUGGAGCCAGCCUCCCCAGCACUCUGGUCUCAGGCGCUGGCGGGCAGCAGAGAUGUAGGGCUUACUCCCAGGAUGGAAUGUGAAGGAGAGAUGGUGGCUCACUGCAGCCUUAACCUCCCAGGCUCAAGCUAUCCUCCUGUCUCAGCCUCCAGAGCAACUAGGACUACAGGUGCACCACCAUGCCCAGGCGGAGUCUCGCUCUGUCACCCAGGCUGGAGUGCUGU
Rhinopithecus roxellana (golden snub-nosed monkey) is the source of this 1394-nucleotide long non-coding RNA. RefSeq lists it as uncharacterized. The transcript has 5 exons. The record is from RefSeq and is a predicted model, not a curated record. NCBI's taxonomy places the organism in Eukaryota, Metazoa, Chordata, Mammalia, Primates, Cercopithecidae.